AUCUCUCGGCGUUAAACUUCGUGUUCACCGCCGGAGAGUACAACGGGAGCGGCUUCUCCAUCUUAGGCAGGGCGGUGUUGACGGAGACGAUGGAGCGGGGCAUCGUCGGGGGCACCGGCAUGUUCCGAAUGGCGCGGGGCUACACCCUGAGCAAGCUCAUCAGGUCAACUGGAACUACCGAACUCGAGCUUGUGAUGGAGUACGAUGCUUACAUCUAUCACUACUGAUGAGCUGCCUCGGCGGUCCGUUCUUGUGUGAUUUAGUACUUUUGUGCGUCGUAAUAAGACAUUCUUACCGUCUCUGUCAAGACAUCCUCGUGGUUGUUCCACGUUUGAUAAGUUUAAGGUUCGUGU
Molecule: long non-coding RNA, 353 nt
Filed under: Musa acuminata (dwarf banana)
Lineage: Eukaryota; Viridiplantae; Streptophyta; Magnoliopsida; Zingiberales; Musaceae
Description: long non-coding RNA (MACU_LNC011400)
Source: RNAcentral